UACGAUAUGAUUGAACUGCUUUUGGGC
This 27-nucleotide non-coding RNA is filed under the name Mus musculus (house mouse). Lineage: Eukaryota; Metazoa; Chordata; Mammalia; Rodentia; Muridae. The record is from RNAcentral.